RNAcentral lists this transfer RNA (76 nucleotides) under Zoogloeaceae bacterium. Its description in RNAcentral is "tRNA-Glu". It matches the Rfam family "tRNA". Rfam says of the family: Transfer RNA (tRNA) molecules are approximately 80 nucleotides in length. Their secondary structure includes four short double-helical elements and three loops (D, anti-codon, and T loops). Further hydrogen bonds mediate the characteristic L-shaped molecular structure. tRNAs have two regions of fundamental functional importance: the anti-codon, which is responsible for specific mRNA codon recognition, and the 3' end, to which the tRNAs corresponding amino acid is attached (by aminoacyl-tRNA synthetases). tRNAs cope with the degeneracy of the genetic code in two manners: having more than one tRNA (with a specific anti-codon) for a particular amino acid; and 'wobble' base-pairing, i.e. permitting non-standard base-pairing at the 3rd anti-codon position. The record is from RNAcentral. Lineage: Bacteria; Pseudomonadati; Pseudomonadota; Betaproteobacteria; Rhodocyclales; Zoogloeaceae.
GUCCCCAUCGUCUAGAGGCCCAGGACACCGCCCUUUCACGGCGAUAACCGGGGUUCGACUCCCCGUGGGGACGCCA